This is a long non-coding RNA of Homo sapiens (human), 1915 nucleotides long. RefSeq lists it as uncharacterized. NCBI's taxonomy places the organism in Eukaryota, Metazoa, Chordata, Mammalia, Primates, Hominidae. The transcript is spliced from 2 exons. The record is from RefSeq and is a predicted model, not a curated record.
UGAACAACACCUGUGCCCAGGCUCUGUUCUAAGCACAAACUUCUUGCCCUUGUAAAAGCUCCUGGUCAGGGAGUCAGAUGAGAAACAAUUUCAAGCGGUGAUAAGGGAGCAUUAGGAGGAAAAAUAAAGCCAGGUGAGGAGAUAAAUAAACAAAUCACUACGAUGGGAACUAAACGAAUGAGCCUUUUUAGAUGGGAGAGGGGAGAAGCCUUCUGGAAAUGUGAAGCAGAAGCAGAAACCUGGCUGAAGGACAAAAGUGAGCCAUGCAAAACCUGGGGGACAGCAUCGCAGUGGGGGGCGCAGCAAUUGCCAAGGGCCUGAGGCAGGACUGAGCUUGGCUUGACUGUGUUUGUACUGCCUGGAAGUGGGGCCUUCAGCCCUCUGUGGCUCAUCGGAAACUUUGGGCCAGGGAAGGUGUUUCUGCUCAUUCCUAUCUGCUCCCUGCUUGGCUCUUUCUAGGACCAAAGCGGGUGUCUUUAACCCCUCUAGGCUGAGCUGGCAAGACAAGUACAGAGCCCCCUUGGCCGUCUUUUUCCCGUGGUUGGCCACCUGGCCCCCGGCCUGGGCUUGGGAAAUGCUUCCGGAGUUCACACUCCUCACUGCCCACUCUGAACCCCGCUGGCGAUCAGGGCAGCACACUAUUUCCAGAUGGGCAUGGGAGACUGUUUUAUUUUUAAAAAUAGCUUUUGUUGGUUUUUGUCUUAUUACAAAAGUAAUAUUUGUUCAUUAUAGAAACUGGAGAAAACAGCUAGCAAAAGGAAGAGUAUAAAACAGCCACUAAUCCUAUUACCCAGAGAGAACCACUGCUGGCACUUGGGUAUCUCCAGAAUUUUCCAUGACUCACUGACCUGACCCCUCCAUCUCCCCAACUCACUGUGCCCCAAGGUAUCUUGGAAAAAUCCCCAAAGAAGAUAUGGCAGUUUUGUUUGUGUGGCCUGUGAGCUGGGAUGGGAGCUGAGUCCAGAGUCCAUAAGAGCCCCCACCCACUCUCCUGGGCAGCAACGAAAGACCACCAGGAAUGUCCAACAGGGAAUAGAUUUAUGGCCAAGCUAGGAGGAGCAUCCCUGUGAAGACACCUACGGAGUCGUUUCGACAGGAGAAUUUACAAGCGCCCUCCUUCGCUUGCUACUGAGUGGAAAAAUACACUGAGCCCAGAGCAGUGAACUCCUUGCCAAGGCCUGUGACUCAUCUCCAAGUCAUAAAUAACGGGUCCCUCAUGACAAAGCAGAGAAGGGAGCCGGGCCCAGGGCCACGUAUUUAUUAGAAAAGAGAGUGGAACCAUUAGUCGGGGGCUUGGUUUCCAGGAAACUCAAACCACACCACAGUAGAGAAGGUCAGGAGGCCCUUCCACAGGAAUUCAGACCUGACAUUUUUUUCAUAUUCUCAAACUUUCAUGUGGGGAGGAGACCCCUGCUACAUCCACCAGAGGCAUCCCCUGGCCACCCAGUUCCAUGGGCCAGGAGGAGUCUUGCUGUUUCCCAGGCCCUGGGGGCCACUCCACCAUCCCCUGCCCCUGAUACUUUUGAUGGCGACCAGGGGAGGCAGAACCGCCUGUCUCGGUGGCCCCACUGACAUCAGGAAACGUUUAGUGCCUGAGAAGUGUGACCUCUGACGAGUUACGACUCCUCCUGAGGCCUCCAUUUCACAAACCUUCCAGGACCGCUGUCAGAAUGAGGUGGGGGAGUAGACUCAGGACCGUGCAAGCCCAUGGGAUGAGCUCACAGCCAUGAGCGGCAUGGUCUAAGGGAAGAAGGAAAGAGAAGAGAAGAGAAAAGUUGGCUCUGCUGGUCUCUCCCUCUGGGUUGUUCCCCUUGUCUCUGUGCUCUUCUCUGUCUCUGAUUAUAAAGGACUCAGAAUCUAAAGGAUAAUAGAUGCAGAUGGAUGGAACAAUAAAUCGUGUGGACUGUUGAUAAAA